CGUGAGGCGGAGGACAGGCUGGGGGAUCCCAAAGGGUCCGCUCCAGCCCCCAACCCAGGCACUGGGACUCUGGUGGCACCCUGGGUGGCAGGCAAGCCUUGAAAUCAAGUGCACGAGCCUUGGAAAGGAGGACCGGGAGAGUUAUGGCAUUUAUGAAUAAAGAAGAGAAAGAGAAUCACUCGGAUGGGAAAAGUUAACUGGAUUGUUCCCACCUGCAUGGAUCACCGGGAUGAAGCUGUGCCACCCUGUAGGAAUUAGAAGACCACGUCCAGGAAUUGAGCAUCGGGUGCAGGAUCCAGUCUUCUGAGGCCCUGAAACCACAUGGUCUGGACAGCUGCUUGUUACAUUUGGCUCACGCUAGCUUUAAAAAGGAAUGUAUGGACCUUACUGCAGAACGUCCCAAUUCUUCAGGCCAAGGUAAAUGCAAGUUGGGGUGGUAGUGAAGUUGCAAACUGCUCCUAAGAAAAAAAGUUAACAAGAUAUUGUUCCUUCCACCCCCG
This 500-nucleotide long non-coding RNA is filed under the name Pan troglodytes (chimpanzee). RNAcentral describes it as "long non-coding RNA NONPTRT009010". The record is from RNAcentral. Lineage: Eukaryota; Metazoa; Chordata; Mammalia; Primates; Hominidae.